UAUUCUGCCCCAUGGGGAAGGAUGAGAAGCUUCGACUAAGGUUCGACUCGAGCGAAGCGAGAGAACGUUGCCGCAGGCAAUGGCCCGAAGGGCGAGGCGCUUUAGCGCCGAGUAAUCCUUCCCCCACCACUU
This 132-nucleotide small RNA is filed under the name Klebsiella pneumoniae. Its description in RNAcentral is "RtT sRNA". It matches the Rfam family "RtT RNA". Rfam says of the family: This family represents a bacterial cis-regulatory element known as RtT RNA. The exact function of RtT is unknown although it is thought that it may be involved in changing the cellular response in relation to amino acid starvation. The record is from RNAcentral. Lineage: Bacteria; Pseudomonadati; Pseudomonadota; Gammaproteobacteria; Enterobacterales; Enterobacteriaceae.